UGGGGAAUAUUGCACAAUGGGGAAGACCCUGAUGCAGCGACGCCGCGUGAAGGAAGAAGUAUCUCGGUAUGUAAACUUCUAUCAGCAGGGAAGAAAAUGACGGUACCUGACUAAGAAGCCCCGGCUAACUACGUGCCAGCAGCCGCGGUAAUACGUAGGGGCGAAGCGUUAUCCGGAUUUACUGGGUGUAAAGGGAGCGUAGACGGAGCAGCAAGUCUGAUGUGAAAGGCGGGGGACGUCAACCCCAGGCCGCACCGCUGAUUUGGAAAACUGUUUGAUCUUGAGUACCGGAGAGGUAAGCGGAAUUCCUAGUGUAGCGGUGAAAUGCGUAGAUAUUAGGAGGAACACCAGUGGCGAAGGCGGCUUACUGGACGGUAACUGACGUUGAGGCUCGAAAGCGUGGGGAGCAAACAGGAUUAGAUACC
This 425-nucleotide ribosomal RNA is filed under the name uncultured bacterium. RNAcentral's name for it is "bacterial SSU rRNA". It matches the Rfam family "Bacterial small subunit ribosomal RNA", at positions 355 to 786 of the family's 1533-position model. The record is from RNAcentral.